UACGUAGGGUGCAAGCGUUGUCCGGAAUUAUUGGGCGUAAAGAGCUCGUAGGCGGUCUGUCGCGUCUGCUGUGAAAACUCGGGGCUUAACCCCGGGCCUGCAGUGGGUACGGGCAGACUAGAGUGCGGUAGGGGAGACUGGAAUUCCUGGUGUAGCGGUGAAAUGCGCAGAUAUCAGGAGGAACACCGAUGGCGAAGGCAGGUCUCUGGGCCAUAACUGACGCUGAGGCGCGGAAGCGUGGGGAGCAAACAGG
RNAcentral lists this ribosomal RNA (253 nucleotides) under uncultured bacterium. RNAcentral's name for it is "partial 16S ribosomal RNA". It matches the Rfam family "Bacterial small subunit ribosomal RNA", at positions 524 to 776 of the family's 1533-position model. The record is from RNAcentral.